CCCCAUGUCUCGUGCAAAGUUUCCAUAGGUUUCUGUUUGAAGCUCACGAUCUCAUCAAUUUGUUGUGCUGUUUUGUUGGGCGGGUGGAACUUGCUAUGAAAUUGAUUGAAUAACUCAUCCCAAGUUUCAAUGGAGUUUAUAUGGAGUGAGUUUAGCCAAACCUGAGCAGCUCCUGUCACUGAGAAAGGAAAUAAUAGCGGCCUCAUUGCUUC
Molecule: long non-coding RNA, 212 nt
Filed under: Nicotiana benthamiana
Lineage: Eukaryota; Viridiplantae; Streptophyta; Magnoliopsida; Solanales; Solanaceae
Description: long non-coding RNA (NBEN_LNC004801)
Source: RNAcentral